This 426-nucleotide ribosomal RNA is filed under the name uncultured bacterium. RNAcentral's name for it is "bacterial SSU rRNA". It matches the Rfam family "Bacterial small subunit ribosomal RNA", at positions 359 to 777 of the family's 1533-position model. The record is from RNAcentral.
GAAUUUUGGACAAUGGGCGCAAGCCUGAUCCAGCCAUUCCGCGUGCAGGAUGAAGGCCUUCGGGUUGUAAACUGCUUUUGUACGGAACGAAACGGUCCUGGUUAAUACCCGGGGCUAAUGACGGUACCGUAAGAAUAAGCACCGGCUAACUACGUGCCAGCAGCCGCGGUAAUACGUAGGGUGCAAGCGUUAAUCGGAAUUACUGGGCGUAAAGCGUGCGCAGGUGGUGAUGUAAGACAGAUGUGAAAUCCCCGGGCUCAACCUGGGAACUGCAUUUGUGACUGCAUUGCUGGAGUGCGGCAGAGGGGGAUGGAAUUCCGCGUGUAGCAGUGAAAUGCGUAGAUAUGCGGAGGAACACCGAUGGCGAAGGCAAUCCCCUGGGCCUGCACUGACGCUCAUGCACGAAAGCGUGGGGAGCAAACAGGA